Mus musculus (house mouse) is the source of this 468-nucleotide long non-coding RNA. RefSeq annotates it as predicted gene, 40298. The transcript has 3 exons. The record is from RefSeq and is a predicted model, not a curated record. Lineage: Eukaryota; Metazoa; Chordata; Mammalia; Rodentia; Muridae.
AGUGUAAUGAAUGCUCACCAUUACUGUCAUGCUGCAGGGCAGCUUAGAUCCAGAGUGGGGUUUGCAGGACUCAGGCUUGACGUUAAUAUUAGCUGUGAGGCCAUGGACUAAUUAGCUACACGUAACUAUCUUUCUUUUCAGUAAAGUGGAGGAGAUCCAAUACUUAUCUUGUCAUGCAUGUCAUGGCUGUCCCAGGGGACACAAACAGGAAAUAGUGGCAGCAGUUACGAUCCACAAUCAUCACCAUCUCUAAUUUUCAUGACAGUCUUUGAGCUCUAGGUCUAAUAUAUGGGGAAACUGAAGUUCAGGGGCAAUAAUUUCUGAGGACAAGCCAAGGCAGAGCUAUCCAUCCUGAGCAUCUUCCAGCACUAUGAAUGGCACUUAGAGGGAUGACACUUCCAGGACUGUGCCAGCUUGAUUCCAUCAUGUUCUUCAACUCAAAUAUGUGGUGAGUUUAGCAAUAAGAUC